GACGAACGCUGCCUGCGUGCUUAACACAUGCAAGUCGAACGAUGAAGCCUAGCUUGCUAGGUGGAUUAGUGGCGAACGGGUGAGUAAUACGUGAGUAACCUACCUUUAACUCUGGGAUAAGCCUGGGAAACUGGGUCUAAUACCGGAUACGACCAAUCUCCGCAUGGGGUGUUGGUGGAAAGCGUUAUGUAGUGGUUAUAGAUGGGCUCACGGCCUAUCAGCUUGUUGGUGAGGUAACGGCUCACCAAGGCGACGACGGGUAGCUGGCCUGAGAGGGUGACCGGCCACACUGGGACUGAGACACGGCCCAGACUCCUACGGGAGGCAGCAGUGGGGAAUAUUGCACAAUGGGCGCAAGCCUGAUGCAGCGACGCCGCGUGAGGGAUGACGGCCUUCGGGUUGUAAACCUCUGUUAGCAGGGAAGAAGAGAGAUUGACGGUACCUGCAGAGAAAGCGCCGGCUAACUACGUGCCAGCAGCCGCGGUAAUACGUAGGGCGCGAGCGUUGUCUCGAAUUAUUGGGCGUAAAGAGCUUGUAGGCGGUUUGUCGCGUCUGCUGUGAAGGCCGGAGCUUAACUCCGUGUAUUGCAGUGGGUACGGGCAGACUAGAGUGCAGUAGGGGAGACUGGAAUUUCUGGUGUAGCGGUGGAAUGCGCAGAUAUCAGGAGGAACACCGAUGGCGAAGGCGGGUCUCUGGGCUGUAACUGACGCUGAGAAGCGAAAGCAUGGGGAGCGAACAGGAUUAGAUACCCUGGUAGUCCAUGCCGUAAACGUUGGGCACUAGGUGUGGGGGACAUUCCACGUUUUCCGCGCCGUAGCUAACGCAUUAAGUGCCCCGCCUGGGGAGUACGGCCGCAAGGCUAAAACUCAAAGAAAUUGACGGGGGCCCGCACAAGCGGCGGAGCAUGCGGAUUAAUUCGAUGCAACGCGAAGAACCUUACCAAGGCUUGACAUAUACUGGACCGCAUCAGAGAUGGUGUUUCCCUUCGGGGCUGGUAUACAGGUGGUGCAUGGUUGUCGUCAGCUCGUGUCGUGAGAUGUUGGGUUAAGUCCCGCAACGAGCGCAACCCUCGUUCUAUGUUGCCAGCACGUUAUGGUGGGGACUCAUAGGAGACUGCCGGGGUCAACUCGGAGGAAGGUGGGGAUGACGUCAAAUCAUCAUGCCCCUUAUGUCUUGGGCUUCACGCAUGCUACAAUGGCCGGUACAGAGGGUUGCGAUACUGUGAGGUGGAGCUAAUCCCUAAAAGCCGGUCUCAGUUCGGAUUGGGGUCUGCAACUCGACCCCAUGAAGUCGGAGUCGCUAGUAAUCGCAGAUCAGCAACGCUGCGGUGAAUACGUUCCCGGGCCU
Molecule: ribosomal RNA, 1347 nt
Filed under: uncultured bacterium
Lineage: Bacteria
Description: bacterial SSU rRNA
Rfam family: Bacterial small subunit ribosomal RNA
Source: RNAcentral